ACAAACCAACUGAAAUGUUUGAUUGUAUAUUAAUUGUACCAUAAACAUACCUGAAAAUCCCGAUAACGCAGAAGUUGAGAUGUAAGAAAAUAUGAAUUCCAAUGGGAGAAGAAAUUGCAUCAACUGAAUAAAAGCACAACAAAG
Non-coding RNA from Caenorhabditis elegans, 144 nucleotides. NCBI's taxonomy places the organism in Eukaryota, Metazoa, Nematoda, Chromadorea, Rhabditida, Rhabditidae. The record is from Ensembl.